RNAcentral lists this microRNA precursor (103 nucleotides) under Marmota monax (woodchuck). The record is from RNAcentral. Lineage: Eukaryota; Metazoa; Chordata; Mammalia; Rodentia; Sciuridae.
AGUGGAAUAGCUGGGUCAAAUGGUGACUCCAUUCCAAGUUUUCUGAGUAAUCUCCAUACUGUUUUCCAUAGUGGUUGCACCAAUUUGCCAUCCCACCAGCAAU